This is a long non-coding RNA of Pleuronectes platessa (European plaice), 1139 nucleotides long. RefSeq lists it as uncharacterized. The transcript is spliced from 2 exons. Lineage: Eukaryota; Metazoa; Chordata; Actinopteri; Pleuronectiformes; Pleuronectidae. The record is from RefSeq and is a predicted model, not a curated record.
ACUCCCCCCGAACACUGCCGAUCUCUUCCGAAGCUCCUGCACCGGCUGCUGUUCGUCCUCCUCGCACCUCCAUCGCCUGACACCAUUUCCACCAUGAUGGACAUUUUGAUGCUGAUGUUUUUCGCCAUCAUGGGCCUCGUCUUCCUCUCCUACAUCAUCUACAUGCUGUGAGGAGGAGGAGGAGGAUGAAGGAGGAGGAGGAGGAUGAAGAAGAGGGCUCCUGCACACAGUCCGCUGGUAAACAUGGGCGCACACGGGAUGUUGUGUUUCUCCUGCAUCCCUGGUGUCCGGACAAUGGAAGAGGAGCCAGAGCCAUGAUGGUUUCCCAUCAGUGCUCUCAGGUGGGGCGUGAGGAGUGAUCCAGCGGAAGUGAGGGAGCAGUGGAGGCCAAACUCUCUUGCCUCUCUUUUUCUAUAUCUCCCACUUGCACUAUGUCAUCCCUCCAUCCUCCAGAGGACCGGUCCAGUCCGAGGAGACUCCCCUGACUUCCUCUUCAAUGGACCCAACUCGUUUUUCUAUCCAGACUGUGUGUUAUCUGUCGAGGAGGAGUCGUGUCACGUCCGCACCAGUCCAAGAAUACCAGUCUGAGUGUGGAAUUUGCCUUUUUUCACGACACUGUGAGCUAUUUAUCGCUUCCACCUCAUGUGCAUGUGAGUUUAACAGUAUUAUCCCUGUGUGGCCAACACCUCUGCACUCGUGGCUUUAUUUGUAUCAUGUGUGUGUUUCAUCAAAUGUCUCAGCCUUGACGUCAGUGUUAAUAUUAUUUCCUCUGUGUUGCCACAAUACGUGCUCCUCCUCACUACAAUCAAGGUUUCCCAUCACGGGGGGAGCCUCAGUGCAAUAACUCAGUGAAGAGAUCACAGCACAUCACCUCCUCUGUUGAAACCUUUAUGUUGCUGUUAUUCAGUUUGUCUUAAUAUUAUAUACAGUUUAUAUAUAUAUAUAUAUAUUUAUUUUGUUUUUGGCUGCAAAUGACACGUAUGAAGAACAGCGGUGUCAUUUCAGAAACGUGUUUCUCAUUCUUAUCACCAAAUCUCCAAUAUAUAUUAUGUUCUUCAGGAUUUAAAUGAUGUUCAGUUUACUGAUGCACUGAUUAUUGACAGUAUGUUAUGUUGAAUAAAGAUGAUUUCAGUAAAUAA